UACGUAGGGUGCAAGCGUUUGUCCGGAAUUAUUGGGCGUAAAGAGCUCGUAGGCGGUUUGUCGCGUCUGCUGUGAAAACUCGGGGCUUAACCCCGGGCCUGCAGUGGGUACGGGCAGACUAGAGUGCGGUAGGGGAGACUGGAAUUCCUGGUGUAGCGGUGAAAUGCGCAGAUAUCAGGAGGAACACCGGAGGCGAAGGCGGCUCACUGGGGAUUUUCUGACGCUGAGGAACGAAAGCCAGGGGAGCGAACGGG
This 254-nucleotide ribosomal RNA is filed under the name uncultured bacterium. RNAcentral's name for it is "partial 16S ribosomal RNA". It matches the Rfam family "Bacterial small subunit ribosomal RNA", at positions 524 to 776 of the family's 1533-position model. The record is from RNAcentral.